This 440-nucleotide ribosomal RNA is filed under the name uncultured bacterium. RNAcentral's name for it is "partial 16S ribosomal RNA". It matches the Rfam family "Bacterial small subunit ribosomal RNA", at positions 338 to 795 of the family's 1533-position model. The record is from RNAcentral.
CCUACGGGAGGCAGCAGUGGGGAAUAUUGCACAAUGGGGGAAACCCUGAUGCAGCGACGCCGCGUGAGUGAAGAAGUAUUUCGGUACGUAAAGCUCUAUCAGCAGGGAAGAAAAUGACGGUACCUGACUAAGAAGCCCCGGCUAACUACGUGCCAGCAGCCGCGGUAAUACGUAGGGGGCAAGCGUUAUCCGGAUUUACUGGGUGUAAUGGGAGCGUAGACGGCAGGGCAAGUAUGGAGUGAAAUCCCAUGGCUUAACCAUGGAACUGCUUUGGAAACUGUGCAGCUAGAGUGCAGGAGAGGUAAGCGGAAUUCCUAGUGUAGCGGUGAAAUGCGUAGAUAUUAGGAGGAACACCAGUGGCGAAGGCGGCUUACUGGACUGUAACUGACGUUGAGGCUCGAAAGCGUGGGGAGCAAACAGGAUUAGAUACCCGGGUAGUC